This 494-nucleotide ribosomal RNA is filed under the name uncultured bacterium. Its description in RNAcentral is "partial 16S ribosomal RNA". It matches the Rfam family "Bacterial small subunit ribosomal RNA", at positions 28 to 507 of the family's 1533-position model. The record is from RNAcentral.
GACGAACGCUGGCGGCGUGCUUAACACAUGCAAGUCGAACGGAAAGGCCUGCUUUCCCUUGUGGAUUGCGGGUACUCGAGUGGCGAACGGGUGAGUAACACGUGAGUGAUCUGCCCCCAACUUGGGUAUAAGCCUGGGAAACUGGGUCUAAUUCCCGAUAGGACUGCAGGGUGGUUCCUGUGGUGGACAACGAUUUUCUAGUGGUUCGGGAUGAGCUCGCGGCCUAUCAGCUUGUUGGUGGGGUAAUGGCCUACCAAGGCGGCGACGGGUAGCCGGCCUGUGAGGAUGGACGGCCACAUUGGGACUGGGAUACGGCCCAGACUCCUACGGGAGGCAGCAGUGGGGAGUAUUGGAGAAUGGGCGGAAGCCUGAUGCAGCGACGCCGCGUGGGGGAUGACGGCCUUCUGGUGGUAAACUCCUUUCGACCGCGAGGAAGCCGCCUGGUUGGAAGGGUGGUGACGGUAGUGGUAGAAGAAGCACCGGCUAACUACGUG